Molecule: ribosomal RNA, 425 nt
Filed under: uncultured bacterium
Lineage: Bacteria
Description: partial 16S ribosomal RNA
Rfam family: Bacterial small subunit ribosomal RNA
Source: RNAcentral
GUGGGGAAUCUUGCGCAAUGGGCGAAAGCCUGACGCAGCCAUGCCGCGUGAAUGAUGAAGGUCUUAGGAUUGUAAAAUUCUUUCACCGGGGACGAUAAUGACGGUACCCGGAGAAGAAGCUCCGGCUAACUUCGUGCCAGCAGCCGCGGUAAUACGAAGGGGGCUAGCGUUGCUCGGAAUUACUGGGCGUAAAGGGCGCGUAGGCGGACAGCUUAGUCAGAGGUGAAAGCCCAGGGCUCAACCUUGGAAUUGCCUUUGAUACUGGCUGUCUUGAGUGUGGGAGAGGUGAGUGGAACUCCGAGUGUAGAGGUGAAAUUCGUAGAUAUUCGGAAGAACACCAGUGGCGAAGGCGACUCACUGGCCCAAUACUGACGCUGAGGCGCGAAAGCGUGGGGAGCAAACAGGAUUAGAUACCCCAGUAGUCC